AUUGAGCGGAAGGCGUCGGCCGGAACGGUUGGAGAAUUCGAGUGGCGGACGGGUGAGUAACGACGUGAACAAUACUGUCCCACGACAGGGGGAGUAACACUUGGAAACAAGGUGCUAAUACCGCAUAAGACCACAGAAUCGCAUGGUACAGGGGUAAAAGGAGCAAUCCGGUUUGGGGUGAGUUCGCGUCCGAUUAGCCAGUUGGGGGGUAACGGCCCACCAAAGCGACGAUCGGUAGCCGACCUGAGAGGGUGAUCGGCCACAUUGGAACUGAGAGACGGUCCAAACUCCUACGGGAGGCAGCAGUGGGGAAUAUUGGGCAAUGGGCGAAAGCCCUGACCCAGCAACGCCGCGUGAGUGAAGAAGGCCUUCGGGUUGUAAAGCUCUGUUAUAGGGGACGAAGGAAGUGACGGUACCCUAUAAGGAAGCCCCGGCUAACUACGUGCCAGCAGCCGC
Molecule: ribosomal RNA, 456 nt
Filed under: uncultured bacterium
Lineage: Bacteria
Description: bacterial SSU rRNA
Rfam family: Bacterial small subunit ribosomal RNA
Source: RNAcentral